This 253-nucleotide ribosomal RNA is filed under the name uncultured bacterium. RNAcentral's name for it is "partial 16S ribosomal RNA". It matches the Rfam family "Bacterial small subunit ribosomal RNA", at positions 524 to 776 of the family's 1533-position model. The record is from RNAcentral.
UACGUAGGGUGCAGGCGUUAAUCGGAAUUACUGGGCGUAAAGCGUGCGCAGGCGGUUUCUUAAGUCAGAUGUGAAAGCCCCGGGCUUAACCGGGGAACUGCGUUUGAAACUGGGAGACUUGAGUGUGGCAGAGGGGGGUGGAAUUCCACGUGUAGCAGUGAAAUGCGUAGAUAUGUGGAGGAACACCAAUGGCGAAGGCAGCCCCCUGGGUCAACACUGACGCUCAUGCACGAAAGCGUGGGGAGCAAACAGG